Molecule: long non-coding RNA, 3351 nt
Filed under: Homo sapiens (human)
Lineage: Eukaryota; Metazoa; Chordata; Mammalia; Primates; Hominidae
Description: HSALNT0087713
Source: RNAcentral
GAUAGUGGAAGGAGAUGGUAGUCCUACUGGUAAUGAUAGAUCAUGUAGUGACUUGUACGUAAUGAUUAAUAGAAGGCCUCAGCUUUCCAGCUGAGGGAAAUGAGAAUGCCAUUGGAGGGUUUUGAGUACAGCAUGAUGUGAUCUGACAUAUUGUAGAAGAAUUUUGAAGGCCACACUGUUGGGAAUCAUUGUAUUGAAGCACAGUUCCAGGCCACGGACAACACAAGGUGCUUGGUGAGCUCUAAAUGGUACCUGCUUUCUGCUGGUAAACAUAAAAUGAAUUUGUGAUGGAAAGAAUUCACCCGUGAAGGCUGCCCGUCUCUGGGAAGAAGGAAGACAGAGAAUUUUGAGGUUCCAGGGGACAAGUAUAUCUCACAGCUGGAAAGAGGAAAGGAUGAAGACAAAAUUUGAACACAAGACUUAAAACAACUAAAUUAUCUCUAAGUAUUCUUAAGUAAUUUGAGUUAUAUUUGUCCUUCCCAAAACAACAAGACUCUAAGCCACCCAAGGGCAAGGGCUGAAGGGUAUCAUCUAUUUAUUCUGAAUCACCUUGAACAUCUUGACAUGGACUCUAUAUGAAACAUCUGUCGAAAAGGCAUUGAUGACUACAUCAAAGGAGAUAGAAAAUCACAGCUCCUUGAAAAUUGUUAUCAUUUUCUUUCAGAAGUGAUCAUUAUCAUUUUUGAGGAUGAAAAUGUAGGGAUUGGUGUCAUAUCUUUUUUAUUCCAGUGGGAACUGUCAAAAGUGUUUUGUUUUUGAUGCUUCUUUCUGAAUGAUUGAGAAAUGCUAAUCAUUUCAAAAAACAGAACAAAGACCAAGGCAUAUAAAGCCUUGAUAGAUUUUAUUUUAUUUUUUUUGAAAAUUCUUAUUUCUGAUGGAAAGGGAAUGAAGGAAAGGAAUAAGGCAAAUCAUGUUUCUCUGUAUGACACUGACAGCAUUAAUGCUGCCAGUUCUUCAUCCUACAGAAAGAAGGUUGUGUGGAUAUUAAUGCUCUCUCUGGAGAUGGGAAUAUGCCUCAUGUUGCUUAAGAUCAAUAUUUACCUUCGCAGACACUGAAGACAGAAUGGACUCUUUAAAAUUGACAUCAAAGUUCCAUUAACAUGUGCUUUCACAAAGAAAUGUCCUACUUUCUAGGCAGCAUUGCAAGUGCAUGGUAUUUCAUAUGUCUAUUGUUUUAGGCACUGAAAGGCCGGAAGAAAAAGGCUUGCUCUUCCAUUGCGCCUCUGCAUUUCAGGGAGCAGAUUCUGUAGAGUGCUCCAAAAUGAUAAUGAAGUCAAUGAUGAAGCAACGGGGACUUUAAGUAGUUAACGUCCCUCUGUAAGUGCCAAAAUCACUGUAUCAGGGAUUUGUCCACACAAGGAAUUCAGCUUUUUAUUUCUUACAAAUAAUGUGCUGCCAUGAAGAGAAACACAAAUACUCAUUCUGAAAUACUCUAUAGCAAAAUCUGCAAAGCUUAACAUCUGCAAAUUUUCUCCUUAACAUCUAUUUUUCAUAUGCUCCAUUGCUCCUUUUUAUUUUUGAAUAAUAAAAAAAUGCAAAAGAAAAUAACAGCAAAUUAAGCAGAGAUCCAGAAUUGGCAUGCAAAAUACCUGGUGUUUUCAACCAACAUUUAUCUUCACCCCAUUGUGGAGAGCUCAAUAAAUGCUAUUUGAAUAUGUUAUCAAUCAUCUAACAUAUUAGCGUGGAGAGAUGAUGCCAAACUGCUUUCACCUUUAAAAUACCUAAUUCUGGAAAGGACACGUGACUGUACAUAAAACAACCUCAUUUUCCCCCAUUAAUUAGACCUGGGCAGAUCAUUUAAUGGCAGGAAAUUAUGAUGGAGUUCAUUUUAUCAUUUAGCAGUUCAAUUAUACAGCAAUUCACAUAUAUAGGCAUAUAUGUGUUACUAUAUAUGCAUAGAUAUAUAUUAUUAACUUAUGUCUUGCCAUUGAACUGAGAAUAAAAUCCAAUGUCCUCACUGUAAAUUCAAAGGUCCUUCAUGAUUGAGCCCUGGUGUAUCUUUCUGACUUCACUUCCGACCACUCUCGUCCUCCCUCCCUGUGUUCCAGCCACACUCACUUUCCUUCUGUUUUUUGAACACAUGCAGCUCAUUCUGCUUAUGCGCUUUGCAGCUGCCUGUUCCACUGCCUAUAACAUCCUCACCUAAUACGGCAUGUAGGACUUUGCUCAAAUAGGUCUCUGCUCUCCCUUGGCCCUCUGUGUAGCAGCAGCACCCUUCUUCAUCACUGUAUCACUACUAGAGCAAUUAUCCAAAAUUAUCUUAUAUAGCCAUAUUCUUUUGUCUGUGCCUACUAAAAUGUAAGCUCCUUGAGAAGUCAAACCUUGUUUCUUUUAUUCACUCUUACUUUCUCAGCACCUAGGAUUUUUUUUUAAUAAAAUGCAUUUUAAUUACUAUAUGUUCUUCAAUAAUGAUUUGGAAUAUAGAGAAAACUCAAGGGAAAAAUCAUUCAUAAUCUUUUCUUUCUACUGUAAGUUCAGUUAAUUCAGAUGUAUUUCCUUCCAGUAUUUUUCCUCUAUUUAAAUUAUAAUGUUUAUUCCAACUCGCAUCUUACUGUUUCUUAAUGCUUAUGUCUGCCUAUGUCAGAAUCAUCCUGACUCAUUUGAGUGCCACAACAAUCCUGUGGAACAGCAAAACCAAGCUAUUAUUAACAAAUUACAAAUAAGGAAACUGAAACUCAUGAAGGCUAAAUGUCUUUCUUGCGCAAUGUCACCCACUCUGAGUCUAGGUUUGGCUCAUCUCUCAACUUUAUUGUCCAGAAUUUCUAUUCAUAAAUGAUCUGCUCAUUUUUCCUCACAAAGCAUGACCUUCUUUAUCACCAUCCCUUCAUUCCAUUGAUACUAAAUCUCUUUUCAGCUACUUAAAUCUUUCCCUUUAUAUCCUGCCUCUUUUGAUAAAUCUGGACAAUCUCAAUUCUCUAUACUUUUUCUCUUAAUAUGUAUUUACAAUUCAGAUCUCUGUCAUCAUUUCACACUUGGCAUAUGAUAUCUAAAUAGCUCAUAAAAAAUUAAUGGAAGUAUUCUGUCUAAUUCAACAUGUAUUUCUUCUUUGCAAUCCCAGUGCCUAUAUCUUCUGAUGUCUGUCCUCAUAGUUCAACUGAAUCAUAUGGAUAAUAAGAACCAUAUUUGGUUCAUCUUGUUUCCUUCCUCCAAACCAUGCCCAUGUGUCUAUACAUACUUAAAAAAUGGAUCAUUCAACAUAUGUUUAUACAGCUCCUUUGUACCAGGCGUUUUUUAAGGUCCUGAGGAUACUGCAAAUAAAUAAAACUAAAAUCUCCCUGUUCUCUUUGCAUUUCCAUUAUGGUAAUUUUACUAAAAAAAAUGGCAUCAAAAUGUAUAAGUGUUAAAAUAAAG